Molecule: transfer RNA, 73 nt
Filed under: Allobosea sp. RAC05
Lineage: Bacteria; Pseudomonadati; Pseudomonadota; Alphaproteobacteria; Hyphomicrobiales; Alloboseaceae
Description: Bosea sp. RAC05 tRNA
Rfam family: tRNA
About the family: Transfer RNA (tRNA) molecules are approximately 80 nucleotides in length. Their secondary structure includes four short double-helical elements and three loops (D, anti-codon, and T loops). Further hydrogen bonds mediate the characteristic L-shaped molecular structure. tRNAs have two regions of fundamental functional importance: the anti-codon, which is responsible for specific mRNA codon recognition, and the 3' end, to which the tRNAs corresponding amino acid is attached (by aminoacyl-tRNA synthetases). tRNAs cope with the degeneracy of the genetic code in two manners: having more than one tRNA (with a specific anti-codon) for a particular amino acid; and 'wobble' base-pairing, i.e. permitting non-standard base-pairing at the 3rd anti-codon position.
Source: Rfam by way of RNAcentral
GGGUCGAUCGUCCAGUGGUCCAGGAUGGCGGACUCCAACCCCGCAGACCCCGGUUCGAAUCCGGGUCGGCCUG